AAUAAUGAGAACCUGUAACAAGUGAAAAAAAUGGACAGUAAAAAUGUAUCUACGUAGUUUUGGGAUUGCUCCAAAUCAAAACAAGCAGUAACCGUUGCUUAGGAACUGCCCUUUGUCAAAAUCAAAACUCACAAAUACUCGCACACACUCAGAGCAGCCACCGCCGUCACUGACAGCCCAGCCGUCUUGCUCUUGUGAUUUUUUAUGGCGGUCGUGUGACGACAGAAAUCAGCAAAAAACAGUUGGUUUUCGAAUAAAAUUGGAAAAACUCGGUCAAUAAUUAUGUAUUGUAAAGCAGGUUCGGCUGCUGAUUCGGAAAACCUUCGGAAUGCUGUUCGCGCUGAUAGUGAUGUCAAAAAACGCGGAUUUGUCCACGACGAAGGAUUUUCGGUGAGCUGAUACCAGAACUCCGGCAGGAACAGGCAGGAUAAAUGAAAUAAUGUGUGGAAUAGGUGAAAAGUGAUGCUUUGGAUAAAAAUCAUGAAUAAAAAAGUGAAAUAAUUAA
Culex quinquefasciatus (southern house mosquito) is the source of this 505-nucleotide long non-coding RNA. RefSeq lists it as uncharacterized. The transcript is spliced from 2 exons. The record is from RefSeq and is a predicted model, not a curated record. NCBI's taxonomy places the organism in Eukaryota, Metazoa, Arthropoda, Insecta, Diptera, Culicidae.